RNAcentral lists this long non-coding RNA (602 nucleotides) under Homo sapiens (human). Its description in RNAcentral is "HSALNT0258894". The record is from RNAcentral. Lineage: Eukaryota; Metazoa; Chordata; Mammalia; Primates; Hominidae.
CUGCUCUGCUCCUGCUCCUGCUGGGCCUGGCCUGGACCCAGGGGAGCCACGGCUGGGGUGCGGACGCGUCAUCACUGCAGAAACGUGCAGGCAGAGACGAUCAGAACUACAAUUACAACCAGCAUGCGUAUCCCACUGCCUAUGGUGGGAAGUACUCAGUCAAGACCCCUGCAAAGGGGGGAGUCUCACCUUCUUCCUCGGCUUCCCGGGUGCAACCUGGCCUGCUGCAGUGGGUGAAGUUUUGGUAGGCGGAGCAAAAGUGAGGGGCACCACAGGCGAACAGGCAAUUUCUUGCAACCACCACCGAGGCCCCGAAAAGCACUGGUCGUCAGGGAGCUCCUCCCCUUGGCCCCCAGCCUGUGCCAGCCCUGGCCCGGCUGCCACACCUCUGUUUCCUAGGCUGGGGACCCAGCUUGUCUCUCCUUGUUUCUUCCCACUGCACUGUGGUGCUUCAGUGGCCACCAGCCUCGUCACAUACACCAGCAUCUUUCUGUACCUCCUCCCUUUGGUGACCUGAAGUCACUGUGACAGUUCUCCAGGAAGGAGGAGCUUCCUACUUUUGAGUUUCUCUGUGGAAAUAAAACAUGAAUCUUGUUUCCCUA